CAACCUGGGGCGGGGUCAAUGGAAGGGCGGAGUCAAUGGGGGGCGGAUCCCUCCCACCUAAAAGCUCUGGUUUCCCCGACAGUGUCGUUAGGGAUGGGAGGCGGACUGCUUGCCAAUCUGCAGUGUCACUGAUCUUUCUAAUCCUAAGAGUGGUAGGAGGAGGAUGUCUCACAAAACAACCAGAAAAUGGAAAGUAAAUUAAUGCUAGUUCUGUGCUGCCACAAUUGACCAAAGCAGAUCAAAGGAAAGAUUUUUAACAUAUUUUAAUAUGAAAUGUAAGUCUGAAUCAGAAAAAUGUUGGCAAGAUAUUUGGAUAUGUUACUAGUGUUAAUGAAGUGGUUUUGUAUUCAAUAGACUCUUUUCAAAACUA
Molecule: non-coding RNA, 370 nt
Organism: Ictidomys tridecemlineatus (thirteen-lined ground squirrel)
Lineage: Eukaryota; Metazoa; Chordata; Mammalia; Rodentia; Sciuridae
Source: RefSeq, a predicted model, not a curated record